Molecule: ribosomal RNA, 253 nt
Filed under: uncultured bacterium
Lineage: Bacteria
Description: partial 16S ribosomal RNA
Rfam family: Bacterial small subunit ribosomal RNA
Source: RNAcentral
GACAGAGGGUGCGAACGUUGUUCGGAAUUACUGGGCGUAAAGCGCGUGUAGGCGGCAGCGUGUGUCGGGCGUGAAAUCUCGGAGCUUAACUCCGAAACUGCAUUCGAUACUGCCGUGCUUGAGGACUGGAGAGGAGACUGGAAUUUACGGUGUAGCGGUGAAAUGCGUAGAUAUCGUAAGGAAGACCAGUGGCGAAGGCGGGUCUCUGGACAGUUCCUGACGCUGAGGCACGAAGGUCAGGGGAGCAAACGGG